AGCGGCGGACGGGUGAGUAACACGUGGGUAACCUACCUAUAAGACUGGGACAACUUCGGGAAACCGGAGCUAAUACCGGAUAAUAUGUUGAACCGCAUGGUUCAAUAGUGAAAGAUGGUUUUGCUAUCACUUAUAGAUGGACCCGCGCCGUAUUAGCUAGUUGGUGAGGUAACGGCUCACCAAGGCAACGAUACGUAGCCGACCUGAGAGGGUGAUCGGCCACACUGGAACUGAGACACGGUCCAGACUCC
This 251-nucleotide ribosomal RNA is filed under the name uncultured Staphylococcus sp. Its description in RNAcentral is "partial 16S ribosomal RNA". It matches the Rfam family "Bacterial small subunit ribosomal RNA", at positions 94 to 339 of the family's 1533-position model. The record is from RNAcentral. Lineage: Bacteria; Bacillati; Bacillota; Bacilli; Caryophanales; Staphylococcaceae.